This 329-nucleotide ribosomal RNA is filed under the name Staphylococcus simulans. RNAcentral describes it as "bacterial SSU rRNA". It matches the Rfam family "Bacterial small subunit ribosomal RNA", at positions 1 to 319 of the family's 1533-position model. Lineage: Bacteria; Bacillati; Bacillota; Bacilli; Caryophanales; Staphylococcaceae. The record is from RNAcentral.
UUUAUGGAGAGUUUGAUCCUAGCUCAGGAUGAACGCUGGCGGCGUGCCUAAUACAUGCAAGUCGAGCGAACGGACGAGAAGCUUGCUUCUCUGAUGUUAGCGGCGGACGGGUGAGUAACACGUGGAUAACCUACCUAUAAGACUGGGAUAACUUCGGGAAACCGGAGCUAAUACCGGAUAAUAUUUUGAACCGCAUGGUUCAAAAGUGAAAGACGGUCUUGCUGUCACUUAUAGAUGGAUCCGCGCUGCAUUAGCUAGUUGGUAAGGUAACGGCUUACCAAGGCAACGAUGCAUAGCCGACCUGAGAGGGUGAUCGGCCACACUGGAAC